Molecule: ribosomal RNA, 122 nt
Filed under: Electrophorus electricus (electric eel)
Lineage: Eukaryota; Metazoa; Chordata; Actinopteri; Gymnotiformes; Gymnotidae
Source: RNAcentral
GAUUACGGCCAUAUCAUCCUGAGAACACCCGACGCUGAGAGCUCAUCUCGGAAGCCGAGCGUUGCCAGGCCUUCUUAGUACUUGGAUGGAAGACUGCCUAGGAACACCAGCUGCUGUAAGCU